UUGGAGGGCAAGUCUGGUGCCAGCAGCCGCGGUAAUUCCAGCUCCAAUAGCGUAUAUUAAAGUUGUUGCAGUUAAAAAGCUCGUAGUUGAAUUUCGGGACCAUCAUGUCGGUCGUGCCUCGGUACGUACUGGCAUUGUUGGUUUCUCCCUUCUGACGAACCAUGAUGUCAUUUAUUUGGUGUUGUGGGGAAUCAGGACCGUUACUUUGAAAAAAUUAGAGUGUUUAAAGCAGGCUCACGCUUGAAUACAUUAGCAUGGAAUAAUGAAAUAGGACGUUUGAUUCUAUUUUGUUGGUUUCUAGGAUCGACGUAAUGAUUAAUAGGGAUAGUUGGGGGCAUUAGUAUUCAAUUGUCAGAGGUGAAAUUCUUGGAUUUAUUGAAGACUAACUACUGCGAAAGCAUUUGCCAAGGAUGUUUUCAUUAAUCAAGAACGAAAGUUAGGGGAUCGAAGACGAUCAGAUACCGUCGUAGUCUUAACCAUAAACUAUGCCGACUAGGGAUCGGAUGAUGUUAAUUUUUUAAUGACUCAUUCGGCGCCUUACGGGAAACCAAAGUGUUUGGGUUC
RNAcentral lists this ribosomal RNA (564 nucleotides) under uncultured Glomeromycotina. Its description in RNAcentral is "SSU rRNA". It matches the Rfam family "Eukaryotic small subunit ribosomal RNA", at positions 548 to 1114 of the family's 1831-position model. The record is from RNAcentral. Lineage: Eukaryota; Fungi; Glomeromycota.